GGGAUUGUGGCUCAGUGGCAGAGCGCUUGCCUGGCAUGCAUGAGGCACUGGGUUCAAUCCUCAGCACCA
This 69-nucleotide transfer RNA is filed under the name Ictidomys tridecemlineatus (thirteen-lined ground squirrel). RNAcentral's name for it is "Spermophilus tridecemlineatus (thirteen-lined ground squirrel) tRNA". It matches the Rfam family "tRNA". From Rfam's summary of the family: Transfer RNA (tRNA) molecules are approximately 80 nucleotides in length. The record is from Rfam by way of RNAcentral. Lineage: Eukaryota; Metazoa; Chordata; Mammalia; Rodentia; Sciuridae.